This 2904-nucleotide ribosomal RNA is filed under the name Salmonella enterica. Its description in RNAcentral is "Large Subunit Ribosomal RNA". It matches the Rfam family "Bacterial large subunit ribosomal RNA". RNAcentral also lists the same sequence under 3 other names. The record is from RNAcentral. Lineage: Bacteria; Pseudomonadati; Pseudomonadota; Gammaproteobacteria; Enterobacterales; Enterobacteriaceae.
GGUUAAGCGACUAAGCGUACACGGUGGAUGCCCUGGCAGUCAGAGGCGAUGAAGGGCGUGCUAAUCUGCGAUAAGCGCCGGUAAGGUGAUAUGAACCGUUAUAACCGGCGAUACCCGAAUGGGGAAACCCAGUGUGACUCGUCACACUAUCAUUAACUGAAUCCAUAGGUUAAUGAGGCGAACCGGGGGAACUGAAACAUCUAAGUACCCCGAGGAAAAGAAAUCAACCGAGAUUCCCCCAGUAGCGGCGAGCGAACGGGGAGGAGCCCAGAGCCUGAAUCAGCAUGUGUGUUAGUGGAAGCGUCUGGAAAGGCGCGCGAUACAGGGUGACAGCCCCGUACACAAAAGCGCAUGUGCUGUGAGCUCGAUGAGUAGGGCGGGACACGUGGUAUCCUGUCUGAAUAUGGGGGGACCAUCCUCCAAGGCUAAAUACUCCUGACUGACCGAUAGUGAACCAGUACCGUGAGGGAAAGGCGAAAAGAACCCCGGCGAGGGGAGUGAAAAAGAACCUGAAACCGUGUACGUACAAGCAGUGGGAGCACCCUUUGGGUGUGACUGCGUACCUUUUGUAUAAUGGGUCAGCGACUUAUAUUCUGUAGCAAGGUUAACCGAAUAGGGGAGCCGGAGGGAAACCGAGUCUUAACCGGGCGUUAAGUUGCAGGGUAUAGACCCGAAACCCGGUGAUCUAGCCAUGGGCAGGUUGAAGGUUGGGUAACACUAACUGGAGGACCGAACCGACUAAUGUUGAAAAAUUAGCGGAUGACCUGUGGCUGGGGGUGAAAGGCCAAUCAAACCGGGAGAUAGCUGGUUCUCCCCGAAAGCUAUUUAGGUAGCGCCUCGUGAAUUCAUCUCCGGGGGUAGAGCACUGUUUCGGCUAGGGGGCCAUCCCGGCUUACCAACCCGAUGCAAACUGCGAAUACCGGAGAAUGUUAUCACGGGAGACACACGGCGGGUGCUAACGUCCGUCGUGAAGAGGGAAACAACCCAGACCGCCAGCUAAGGUCCCAAAGUCAUGGUUAAGUGGGAAACGAUGUGGGAAGGCCCAGACAGCCAGGAUGUUGGCUUAGAAGCAGCCAUCAUUUAAAGAAAGCGUAAUAGCUCACUGGUCGAGUCGGCCUGCGCGGAAGAUGUAACGGGGCUAAACCAUGCACCGAAGCUGCGGCAGCGACACUGUGUGUUGUUGGGUAGGGGAGCGUUCUGUAAGCCUGUGAAGGUGUGUCGUGAGGCAUGCUGGAGGUAUCAGAAGUGCGAAUGCUGACAUAAGUAACGAUAAAGCGGGUGAAAAGCCCGCUCGCCGGAAGACCAAGGGUUCCUGUCCAACGUUAAUCGGGGCAGGGUGAGUCGACCCCUAAGGCGAGGCCGAAAGGCGUAGUCGAUGGGAAACGGGUUAAUAUUCCCGUACUUGGUGUUACUGCGAAGGGGGGACGGAGAAGGCUAUGUUGGCCGGGCGACGGUUGUCCCGGUUUAAGCGUGUAGGUGUGUGUUCCAGGUAAAUCCGGUUCACUUUAACACUGAGGCGUGACGACGAGGCACUACGGUGCUGAAGCAACAAAUGCCCUGCUUCCAGGAAAAGCCUCUAAGCAUCAGGUAACAUCAAAUCGUACCCCAAACCGACACAGGUGGUCAGGUAGAGAAUACCAAGGCGCUUGAGAGAACUCGGGUGAAGGAACUAGGCAAAAUGGUGCCGUAACUUCGGGAGAAGGCACGCUGACACGUAGGUGAAGUGAUUUACUCAUGGAGCUGAAGUCAGUCGAAGAUACCAGCUGGCUGCAACUGUUUAUUAAAAACACAGCACUGUGCAAACACGAAAGUGGACGUAUACGGUGUGACGCCUGCCCGGUGCCGGAAGGUUAAUUGAUGGGGUCAGCGCAAGCGAAGCUCCUGAUCGAAGCCCCGGUAAACGGCGGCCGUAACUAUAACGGUCCUAAGGUAGCGAAAUUCCUUGUCGGGUAAGUUCCGACCUGCACGAAUGGCGUAAUGAUGGCCAGGCUGUCUCCACCCGAGACUCAGUGAAAUUGAACUCGCUGUGAAGAUGCAGUGUACCCGCGGCAAGACGGAAAGACCCCGUGAACCUUUACUAUAGCUUGACACUGAACAUUGAGCCUUGAUGUGUAGGAUAGGUGGGAGGCUUUGAAGUGUGGACGCCAGUCUGCAUGGAGCCGACCUUGAAAUACCACCCUUUAAUGUUUGAUGUUCUAACGUGGACCCGUUACCCGGGUUGCGGACAGUGUCUGGUGGGUAGUUUGACUGGGGCGGUCUCCUCCUAAAGAGUAACGGAGGAGCACGAAGGUUGGCUAAUCCUGGUCGGACAUCAGGAGGUUAGUGCAAUGGCAUAAGCCAGCUUGACUGCGAGCGUGACGGCGCGAGCAGGUGCGAAAGCAGGUCAUAGUGAUCCGGUGGUUCUGAAUGGAAGGGCCAUCGCUCAACGGAUAAAAGGUACUCCGGGGAUAACAGGCUGAUACCGCCCAAGAGUUCAUAUCGACGGCGGUGUUUGGCACCUCGAUGUCGGCUCAUCACAUCCUGGGGCUGAAGUAGGUCCCAAGGGUAUGGCUGUUCGCCAUUUAAAGUGGUACGCGAGCUGGGUUUAGAACGUCGUGAGACAGUUCGGUCCCUAUCUGCCGUGGGCGCUGGAGAACUGAGGGGGGCUGCUCCUAGUACGAGAGGACCGGAGUGGACGCAUCACUGGUGUUCGGGUUGUCAUGCCAAUGGCACUGCCCGGUAGCUAAAUGCGGAAGAGAUAAGUGCUGAAAGCAUCUAAGCACGAAACUUGCCCCGAGAUGAGUUCUCCCUGAGACUUAGAGUCUCCUGAAGGAACGUUGAAGACGACGACGUUGAUAGGCCGGGUGUGUAAGCGCAGCGAUGCGUUGAGCUAACCGGUACUAAUGAACCGUGAGGCUUAACCUU